Molecule: long non-coding RNA, 385 nt
Filed under: Struthio camelus australis
Lineage: Eukaryota; Metazoa; Chordata; Aves; Struthioniformes; Struthionidae
Description: lncRNA (ENSSCUG00000004673.1)
Source: RNAcentral
CUGGCAGCAGUAGCCUGCUGAGAUAAGCAAGCACAACACGCAGUAUUUACAUGUACUGUCCUGGCUUUCCCAUUAAAAUGUUUGUAGUACAGUACAGAAACGUGGAUGUGCUUACUGUGCAGAUCUCCAUAAAAUUACUUCCUUGCUCAGCUGGAGUAUUGUGGAAAUCGACUGAAGACAUCGGGAGGACAAGAAUUUUCUAAAAGCAUAUUCAAGAAAGGAUGAAGCCAAAAUACUUUUGCAUCUAAAAAUCAUCUACUACAGUGACAAGAACAAUUAUGGAAACAAUUAUCACGGGGAGGAACAGUGAUACUGAGGCCUAAGUUGCUCUGCAUGAGUCUAGUUUUACAGCGGUUAAGCUUCAAUAAAAUCAACCACAGUAACA